UACAGAGGGUGCGAGCGUUAAUCGGAAUUACUGGGCGUAAAGCGCGCGUAGGCGGCUUUGCAAGUCGGGUGUGAAAUCCCCAGGCUUAACCUGGGAGCUGCAUUCGAGACUGCAUUGCUAGAGUAUGGGAGAGGGAAGUGGAAUUUCCGGUGUAGCGGUGAAAUGCGUAGAUAUCGGAAGGAACAUCAGUGGCGAAAGCGACUUCCUGGACCAAUACUGACGCUCAUGUGCGAAAGCGUGGGGAGCAAACAGG
RNAcentral lists this ribosomal RNA (253 nucleotides) under uncultured bacterium. RNAcentral describes it as "partial 16S ribosomal RNA". It matches the Rfam family "Bacterial small subunit ribosomal RNA", at positions 524 to 776 of the family's 1533-position model. The record is from RNAcentral.